GACGAACGCUGGCGGCGUGCUUAACACAUGCAAGUCGAACGAUGAGGCAAAGAAUCGCAGCUUCGGCAGAAAUUCAUUUCGGAUUAGUGGCAGACGGGUGGGUAACGCGUGAGCAACCUACCUCUUACAAAGGGAUAGCCUCGGGAAACCGGGAUUAAUACCAUAUAACAUUGCGACGAAGCAUUUCGAUGCAAUCAAAGCUACGGCGGUAAGAGAUGGGCUCGCGUCCCAUUAACCGGAUGGUGAGGUAACGGCUCACCAUAGUGACGAUGGGUAACCGGCCUGAGAGGGUGAACGGUCACACUGGAACUGAGACACGGUCCAGACUCCUACGGGAGGCAGCAGUGGGGAAUAUUGCACAAUGGAGGGAACUCUGAUGCAGCGACGCCGCGUGAGGGAUGAAGGAAUUCGUUUCGUAAAACUCUGUUCUAUGGGAAGAAAAGGACUGUACCAUAGGAGAAAGCUCCGGCUAAAUACG
RNAcentral lists this ribosomal RNA (478 nucleotides) under uncultured bacterium. Its description in RNAcentral is "partial 16S ribosomal RNA". It matches the Rfam family "Bacterial small subunit ribosomal RNA", at positions 28 to 505 of the family's 1533-position model. The record is from RNAcentral.